This 253-nucleotide ribosomal RNA is filed under the name uncultured bacterium. RNAcentral's name for it is "partial 16S ribosomal RNA". It matches the Rfam family "Bacterial small subunit ribosomal RNA", at positions 524 to 776 of the family's 1533-position model. The record is from RNAcentral.
UACGAAGGGGGCUAGCGUUGCUCGGAUUGACUGGGCGUAAAGAGCGUGUAGGCGGCCUGAAAGGUCAGCUGUGAAAACUCGAGGCUCAACCUCGAGACGUCGGUUGAAACCAUCUGGCUAGAGUCCGGAAGAGGAGAGUGGAAUUCCCGGUGUAGCGGUGAAAUGCGCAGAUAUCGGGAAGAACACCCGUGGCGAAGGCGGCUCUCUGGGACGGUACUGACGCUGAGACGCGAAAGCGUGGGGAGCGAACAGG